This 72-nucleotide transfer RNA is filed under the name Ovis aries (sheep). It matches the Rfam family "tRNA". Rfam says of the family: Transfer RNA (tRNA) molecules are approximately 80 nucleotides in length. Their secondary structure includes four short double-helical elements and three loops (D, anti-codon, and T loops). Further hydrogen bonds mediate the characteristic L-shaped molecular structure. tRNAs have two regions of fundamental functional importance: the anti-codon, which is responsible for specific mRNA codon recognition, and the 3' end, to which the tRNAs corresponding amino acid is attached (by aminoacyl-tRNA synthetases). tRNAs cope with the degeneracy of the genetic code in two manners: having more than one tRNA (with a specific anti-codon) for a particular amino acid; and 'wobble' base-pairing, i.e. permitting non-standard base-pairing at the 3rd anti-codon position. Lineage: Eukaryota; Metazoa; Chordata; Mammalia; Artiodactyla; Bovidae. The record is from Rfam by way of RNAcentral.
UUCCUAGUAGCUCAGAUGGUAAAGUAUCUGCCUGCAAUGCAGGAGACGCAGGUUCGAUCCCUGGGUCGGGAA